This 2132-nucleotide ribosomal RNA is filed under the name Shigella flexneri. RNAcentral describes it as "partial 23S ribosomal RNA". It matches the Rfam family "Bacterial large subunit ribosomal RNA", at positions 294 to 2417 of the family's 2925-position model. The record is from RNAcentral. Lineage: Bacteria; Pseudomonadati; Pseudomonadota; Gammaproteobacteria; Enterobacterales; Enterobacteriaceae.
GGAGCAGCCCAGAGCCUGAAUCAGUGUGUGUGUUAGUGGAAGCGUCUGGAAAGGCGUGCGAUACAGGGUGACAGCCCCGUACACAAAAAUGCACAUACUGUGAGCUCGAUGAGUAGGGCGGGACACGUGGUAUCCUGUCUGAAUAUGGGGGGACCAUCCUCCAAGGCUAAAUACUCCUGACUGACCGAUAGUGAACCAGUACCGUGAGGGAAAGGCGAAAAGAACCCCGGCGAGGGGAGUGAAAAAGAACCUGAAACCGUGUACGUACAAGCAGUGGGAGCACGCUUAGGCGUGUGACUGCGUACCUUUUGUAUAAUGGGUCAGCGACUUAUAUUCUGUAGCAAGGUUAACCGAAUAGGGGAGCCGAAGGGAAACCGAGUCUUAACUGGGCGUUAAGUUGCAGGGUAUAGACCCGAAACCCGGUGAUCUAGCCAUGGGCAGGUUGAAGGUUGGGUAACACUAACUGGAGGACCGAACCGACUAAUGUUGAAAAAUUAGCGGAUGACUUGUGGCUGGGGGUGAAAGGCCAAUCAAACCGGGAGAUAGCUGGUUCUCCCCGAAAGCUAUUUAGGUAGCGCCUCGUGAAUUCAUCUCCGGGGGUAGAGCACUGUUUCGGCAAGGGGGUCAUCCCGACUUACCAACCCGAUGCAAACUGCGAAUACCGGAGAAUGUUAUCACGGGAGACACACGGCGGGUGCUAACGUCCGUCGUGAAGAGGGAAACAACCCAGACCGCCAGCUAAGGUCCCAAAGUCAUGGUUAAGUGGGAAACGAUGUGGGAAGGCCCAGACAGCCAGGAUGUUGGCUUAGAAGCAGCCAUCAUUUAAAGAAAGCGUAAUAGCUCACUGGUCGAGUCGGCCUGCGCGGAAGAUGUAACGGGGCUAAACCAUGCACCGAAGCUGCGGCAGCGACGCUUAUGCGUUGUUGGGUAGGGGAGCGUUCUGUAAGCCUGUGAAGGUGUGCUGUGAGGUAUGCUGGAGGUAUCAGAAGUGCGAAUGCUGACAUAAGUAACGAUAAAGCGGGUGAAAAGCCCGCUCGCCGGAAGACCAAGGGUUCCUGUCCAACGUUAAUCGGGGCAGGGUGAGUCGACCCCUAAGGCGAGGCCGAAAGGCGUAGUCGAUGGGAAACAGGUUAAUAUUCCUGUACUUGGUGUUACUGCGAAGGGGGGACGGAGAAGGCUAUGUUGGCCGGGCGACGGUUGUCCCGGUUUAAGCGUGUAGGCUGGUUUUCCAGGCAAAUCCGGAAAAUCAAGGCCGAGGCGUGAUGACGAGGCACUACGGUGCUGAAGCAACAAAUGCCCUGCUUCCAGGAAAAGCCUCUAAGCAUCAGGUAACAUCAAAUCGUACCCCAAACCGACACAGGUGGUCAGGUAGAGAAUACCAAGGCGCUUGAGAGAACUCGGGUGAAGGAACUAGGCAAAAUGGUGCCGUAACUUCGGGAGAAGGCACGCUGAUACGUAGGUGAAGCGACUUGCUCGUGGAGCUGAAAUCAGUCGAAGAUACCAGCUGGCUGCAACUGUUUAUUAAAAACACAGCACUGUGCAAACACGAAAGUGGACGUAUACGGUGUGACGCCUGCCCGGUGCCGGAAGGUUAAUUGAUGGGGUUAGCGCAAGCGAAGCUCUUGAUCGAAGCCCCGGUAAACGGCGGCCGUAACUAUAACGGUCCUAAGGUAGCGAAAUUCCUUGUCGGGUAAGUUCCGACCUGCACGAAUGGCGUAAUGAUGGCCAGGCUGUCUCCACCCGAGACUCAGUGAAAUUGAACUCGCUGUGAAGAUGCAGUGUACCCGCGGCAAGACGGAAAGACCCCGUGAACCUUUACUAUAGCUUGACACUGAACAUUGAGCCUUGAUGUGUAGGAUAGGUGGGAGGCUUUGAAGUGUGGACGCCAGUCUGCAUGGAGCCGACCUUGAAAUACCACCCUUUAAUGUUUGAUGUUCUAACGUGGACCCGUGAUCCGGGUUGCGGACAGUGUCUGGUGGGUAGUUUGACUGGGGCGGUCUCCUCCUAAAGAGUAACGGAGGAGCACGAAGGUUGGCUAAUCCUGGUCGGACAUCAGGAGGUUAGUGCAAUGGCAUAAGCCAGCUUGACUGCGAGCGUGACGGCGCGAGCAGGUGCGAAAGCAGGUCAUAGUG